CGCAGGCCUCGGCCGCCACCCCUCCGUCCCGCAGGGCCCCUGCCGAGCCCGGGACCGCCAGCCCGGCGCUUCGGGAACAGCCUCAGCUGGCAGAAAACAGCCAGCGCCGAGUGCAAAUCGCCAGACUGAAUGGGAUGCUCCUCCUGCUUGGGGCUGCUUCCUGUGAAGAGUGUGGCUGCACUGCUGCAAACCAUCCCUUCCCUGCCACACUGGCACAGGUGGCUGUUGCCACCUACGACAGCCCAGACUUUGCCAUCUCCUUGUGAAGCAUGAAUAAGCAGACCUCCAGCCUGAUGCAUCAGAUUCCUCUUCCCGUGGCUCUCCAUCUUCCAUGUUGUUCAUGCGACUGUCUUCUAAGCCUCCUCAGGGAAGUUUCCUAGGAUGGAAUGCAGAGUAUAAUACAACAAUUUAACUGAAUUAAAAAUAUAUGAAACAAGCUUACUGAAGAGGAUGGGGAAAGGAGAUGAGCCACGUGACUCUGGAAAUGAGGGGCAUCUGUAAGACUCAAGGCAAAUGAUACUGCAUAACCACUGCAUCCUCGUUGAUAAAGUUGUGUCUCACGGGGGACGGAGUGUAUUGGUGUGAUCUCGACCACUGCAACCUCCACCUCUCAGAUUCAAGCGAUUCUCCUGCCUCAGCCUGGAGAAUACAGGUGAUUCUCCUGUAUUCCAUUAUCUUACGGAUCACUCUAGCUUCCUCCUUUUGUGUUUCUGUAACCUCCUACUCCAGUAGUGAGAAAUCUGACUCUCACCAUCCACUGUCUAUUUACUUAAUUAUUUAAUUUUUGUAUACAUGGUGCUAAUGGUUUGAAUAUGUCCUCCAAAAUUCAUGCUGAAACUUAAUCCCCAUUUUGACGGCAUUAAGAGGUGGGACUGGGCCAAGCACGGUGGCUCGUGCCUGU
Saimiri boliviensis boliviensis (Bolivian squirrel monkey) is the source of this 901-nucleotide non-coding RNA. NCBI's taxonomy places the organism in Eukaryota, Metazoa, Chordata, Mammalia, Primates, Cebidae. The record is from RefSeq and is a predicted model, not a curated record.